RNAcentral lists this ribosomal RNA (253 nucleotides) under uncultured bacterium. RNAcentral's name for it is "partial 16S ribosomal RNA". It matches the Rfam family "Bacterial small subunit ribosomal RNA", at positions 524 to 776 of the family's 1533-position model. The record is from RNAcentral.
GACGAACCGAGCGAACGUUGUUCGGAAUCACUGGGCUUAAAGGGCGCGUAGGCGGUCCGGUAAGUCCGCUGUGAAAGUCGGGGGCUCAACCCUCGAAUGCCGGUGGAUACUGUCGGGCUAGAGUGCGGAAGAGGCGAGUGGAAUUCCUGGUGUAGCGGUGAAAUGCGCAGAUAUCAGGGGGAACACCUAUUGCGAAGGCAGCUCGCUGGGACGUAACUGACGCUGAGACGCGAAAGCGUGGGGAGCAAACAGG